RNAcentral lists this long non-coding RNA (447 nucleotides) under Pan troglodytes (chimpanzee). RNAcentral's name for it is "long non-coding RNA NONPTRT017025". Lineage: Eukaryota; Metazoa; Chordata; Mammalia; Primates; Hominidae. The record is from RNAcentral.
CUGAACAUCUGGUUUCUUGAAUUUAAAUAAGAACAAACAUAAUAUAUUUACUGUUUUAUUCAUCCCAUCUCCAGUUCACUCACAUUUUCUUUAUCCAAUCCACUUUUGAUGGGUACCUAGGUUGAUUCCAGGUCUUUGAUAUUGUGAAUAGUGCUGCGAUGAACAUACAAGUGCUUGUGUCUUUGGCAGAAUGGUUUCUUUUCCUUUGGGUAUAUACCCAGUAAUGGGAUUGCUAGGUUGAAUGCUAGCUCUGUUUUAGGUUCUUUGAGAAAUCUUCAAACUGUUUUCCACAGUAGCUGAACUAAUUUACCUUCCCACCAACAGUGUAUAAGUGUUCCCUUUUCUCCAUGGCCUCACUAGCAUCAGUUUUUUGACUUGUUAAUAACAGCCAUUCUGGCUGGUGUGAGAUGGUAUAUCAUUGCAGUUUUAAUAUUUGCUCCCAUUCUG